RNAcentral lists this ribosomal RNA (446 nucleotides) under uncultured bacterium. Its description in RNAcentral is "bacterial SSU rRNA". It matches the Rfam family "Bacterial small subunit ribosomal RNA", at positions 330 to 793 of the family's 1533-position model. The record is from RNAcentral.
UCCAGACUCCUACGGGAGGCAGCAGUGGGGGAUAUUGCACAAUGGGGGAAACCCUGAUGCAGCAACGCCGCGUGAGUGAAGAAGUAUUUCGGUAUGUAAAGCUCUAUCAGCAGGGAAGAGAAUGACGGUACCUGACUAAGAAGCCCCGGCUAACUACGUGCCAGCAGCCGCGGUAAUACGUAGGGGGCGAGCGUUAUCCGGAUUUACUGGGUGUAAAGGGAGCGUAGACGGCUGGUCAAGUCUGAAGUGAAAGCCCGGGGCUUAACCCCGGAACGGCUUUGGAAACUGAGCAGCUAGAGUGCUGGAGAGGUAAGCGGAAUUCCUAGUGUAGCGGUGAAAUGCGUAGAUAUUAGGAGGAACACCAGUGGCGAAGGCGGCUUACUGGACAGUAACUGACGUUGAGGCUCGAAAGCGUGGGGAGCAAACAGGAUUAGAUACCCCCGUAA